AUUGAACGCUGGCGGCAUGCCUUACACAUGCAAGUCGAACGGCAGCAUGAUCUAGCUUGCUAGAUUGAUGGCGAGUGGCGAACGGGUGAGUAAUACAUCGGAACGUGCCCUGUAGUGGGGGAUAACUAGUCGAAAGAUUAGCUAAUACCGCAUACGACCUGAGGGUGAAAGUGGGGGACCGCAAGGCCUCAUGCUAUAGUAGCGGCCGAUGUCUGAUUAGCUAGUUGGUGAGGUAAAGGCUCACCAAGGCGACGAUCAGUAGCUGGUCGGAGAGGACGAUCGGCCACACUGGGACUGAGACACGGCCCAGACUCCUGCGAGAGGCAGCAGUGGGGAAUUUUGGACAAUGGGCGAGAGCCUGAUCCAGCAAUGCCGCGUGUGUGAAGAAGGCCUUCGGGUUGUAAAGCACUCUUGUCCGGAAAGAAAUGGCUCUGGUUAAUACCUGGGGUCGAUGACGGUACCGGAAGAAUAAGGACCGGCUAACUACGUG
This 490-nucleotide ribosomal RNA is filed under the name uncultured bacterium. Its description in RNAcentral is "partial 16S ribosomal RNA". It matches the Rfam family "Bacterial small subunit ribosomal RNA", at positions 30 to 507 of the family's 1533-position model. The record is from RNAcentral.